AAGUCCGCGAAUAUUAAACGCAAAAAAGUUCUUUUAACACUUUAUUUACACGAAGGGUUAAAAAAAUACUCUCUCUUCCGGGACUUUAAUACGCGAGAAAAGGGCGUUUCUUCAGCCGUCGUUCCUUUAAAUACCCUUUCGCUGGUUCUCGCUCGGCGCUACGGUCGAUGCCCUUUCCCUUCGGUGUUCUUCGGUUAACCUUCGUUUUAACUGUCGCAAAUAUGGCUGAGGCACGGCGAAAUAUUUCGCCCUACGAUCAUGGCAUCGAUGCCAUCCUCUCUACGAAGACAGCGCCCUCUAUGUUCAUCUGCUCAAACUAGCAUCACGAUGAACGGACCGUUGAUGCUUGUCAACAGUCCCCCCAGUGUUUGUAAUCAACACUUCAUUUGUCCGAUACGUCGAUAACUGCUAUUUUGACAGCUGGGCGCUCUAGCACUUUACCGGAUGCUGUCUGCACGUGCACCCGCCGUACUUGACCGUCGUUUGAUUCGAUCACAUUUACAAUGCGUCCUUUCGGCCAGCAUCCACGGGGAAGAGUCUCGUCGAUUAUUAGUGCGAUGUCACCCUCUGCAAUCGGUUUCACCUGUGCGUGCCACUUUGUGCGCCGUGUUAAAGUUGGCAGGUAGCUGGCCAACCACUUUCGCCAGAAUACGUCAGCGUAAAUUUGCGAUGUUUUCCAAGUGUUCUUUAACAUUUCGGGCGAGGGGUCCACUGUGGUGAUCGGUUUGGCACCGGAUGAUGAGCCCACAAGAAAGUGAUUUGGUGUCAAGGGAGCGUCUUCUUCGCGAUCAACCGGAACAUCAGUCAAUGGGCGUAAAUUUAUGAUAUACUCAACUUCAAUCAACCAACUGUUGAGUACGGCAUCGGUCGGAUACUUAGUGAACUGAAUGUUCGUUAACGUACUUUUUAUCGACCGAACGAGUCGCUCCCAUGCUCCUCCGAAAUGCGGAGCCGCUGGAGGGUUAAACGUCCACUUGGUGCUGGUAAGGCUAAUCCCAUCGAUGAUCUUAUCAACAUCUAUUUCUUUUAGGGCUUCCUGAAGUUCGCGGCUGGCGCCUACAAAAUUGGUUCCUCUAUCGGAUAUGAUUUCAUUGGGUACGCCCCGUCGAGCUAUAAAUUUCGCAGUGCUAAUAUACAAGAGCUUGUUGAUAAUGUAUGGAUAAUGUAUGGGAUAAUGAGUUCCGAGAAAGAGCACUCUCCUCUCAUACCUGGCACAAAGGAAUAAUAUUCAGAGAAUUCAUCGAUCACCGUUCAUCCGCUGCUCAAAAUUUUUGGCGCCCACCCUCACGACAACUGCCACUACCCAACCAGCAAAACCGAAGCUAUUGGAAAACUUUCCUGUGUGCCAAAGCGAGAGAGCAUGUCUUUUUUCUCUAGGUUUUGGACGGCACAACGCCGAUCGUGUGGCCUAUGAACGAAAAACGGGAGAAGGGGAAACCGAUAUCCUUCGAGUGACACACACGCAUGCAUCUGCAUGCGUAUUCCGCUGAACCGAGACUACACAUCUCUCUCGAUCUCCCAUGAUUUUUCUGCUAUCGCGCUCAUCCGGGUGUUAGGCAUCCUCAGUCUGUCCAGAACUUUCACUGUGGAAGGGUGUGUUGGAGUGAUGUGUGAUUUCUUGUGCCCCGUACUUUGCUCGUUUACGUUUUGUGCCGUGUUCCUUCUUCUUCAAUUAUGGAAUGAUUUAUCCUUGUUAAUUUCUAAGUUACAGUGCACGCGCAUGUUAAUCGACGGUUGCCAACAUCCCGCAAAACGAUCGACGGAAGGAAAACGGUGUCCGGGUUUAAAAUAUAAAGAUUUCAUUACAUCUCUUUCGUAGAAGAGCGUACUUCAAGGACGCCUAGGAUACGGCUAAACAUGCGCAGCACCAGUCCGUGACGUCAUUUCCAGACAGGCGCCGGCUGAACACGCGUAGCACCAGUCGAGGAUAUCCUAGCGCAGAGGGUAGAAGGAAGAACGAGAGGAAGGGUAAUAGAAAGCAACCGCAGCAUUUGGAAGGGGUGAAGCAUCCUGCCGUAUACAGAGUGUGAGUGUGCCAAAACGCAUGUGGAAAGAGUAACACCAAUAAACAGCAUGCGAAA
Molecule: long non-coding RNA, 2081 nt
Organism: Anopheles gambiae (African malaria mosquito)
Lineage: Eukaryota; Metazoa; Arthropoda; Insecta; Diptera; Culicidae
Exons: 3
Source: RefSeq, a predicted model, not a curated record